AAAGACAGCAGCAGCCGCGGUAAUACAGAGGGUGCGAGCGUUAAUCGGAUUUACUGGGCGUAAAGCGUGCGUAGGCGGCUUCUUAAGUCGGAUGUGAAAUCCCUGAGCUUAACUUAGGAAUUGCAUUCGAUACUGGGAAGCUAGAGUAUGGGAGAGGAUGGUAGAAUUCCAGGUGUAGCGGUGAAAUGCGUAGAGAUCUGGAGGAAUACCGAUGGCGAAGGCAGCCAUCUGGCCUAAUACUGACGCUGAGGUACGAAAGCAUGGGGAGCAAACAGGAUUAGAUACCCCUGUAGUCCCUGUCUCUUAUAU
RNAcentral lists this ribosomal RNA (309 nucleotides) under uncultured bacterium. RNAcentral's name for it is "partial 16S ribosomal RNA". It matches the Rfam family "Bacterial small subunit ribosomal RNA", at positions 498 to 809 of the family's 1533-position model. The record is from RNAcentral.